This 421-nucleotide ribosomal RNA is filed under the name Nyctimene cephalotes. Its description in RNAcentral is "partial 16S ribosomal RNA". It matches the Rfam family "Bacterial large subunit ribosomal RNA", at positions 2000 to 2593 of the family's 2925-position model. Lineage: Eukaryota; Metazoa; Chordata; Mammalia; Chiroptera; Pteropodidae. The record is from RNAcentral.
CCACACGAGGGUUUUACUGUCUCUUACUUCCAAUCAGUGAAAUUGACCUUCCCGUGAAGAGGCGGGAAUAAAUAAAUAAGACGAGAAGACCCUAUGGAGCUUUAAUUAACUAACCCACAGAUAGCAAACCUCACUUCUAAGGAAAACAAAACAAUACCCUGAUGGGCUAGCAAUUUAGGUUGGGGUGACCUCGGAAUACAAAAAAACUUCCAAGUGAUUAAAAUCCAGACUAACAAGUCAAAAUUAACCACAUCAAGCAUUGAUCCAAUCUAUUUGAUCAACGGAACAAGUUACCCUAGGGAUAACAGCGCAAUCCUGUUUGAGAGUCCAUAUCGAUAACAGGGUUUACGACCUCGAUGUUGGAUCAGGACAUCCCAAUGGUGCAGAAGCUAUUAAUGGUUCGUUUGUUCAACGAUUAAAG